CGGUAUGAUCCUUAUGUGUAUGUAAAAUAUCUCAUGUGUAAUUGAAGGGUAUGUGUUGUAUUUUGAAGAGUUGGGACGCUUAAGAAAGUGGACUCAGCUGAUGUGGAAAUGAAUGCGAGGUUUGCAAAGAAUGUUAGUGCUAGAUGAUAUGUGUAUUCACAAGACUUGUAAAUGACUUGAGUUUAAUCUCACUAUAACAUUGUGGCAUCA
This 210-nucleotide long non-coding RNA is filed under the name Nicotiana benthamiana. Its description in RNAcentral is "long non-coding RNA (NBEN_LNC036977)". The record is from RNAcentral. Lineage: Eukaryota; Viridiplantae; Streptophyta; Magnoliopsida; Solanales; Solanaceae.